UACAGAGGUGGCAAGCGUUGUUCGGAAUUACUGGGCGUAAAGGGCGCGUAGGCGGCCCACUAAGUCAGACGUGAAAUCCCCCGGCUUAACCUGGGAACUGCGUCUGAUACUGGAGGGCUUGAGUAUGGGAGAGGGAUGUAGAAUUCCAGGUGUAGCGGUGAAAUGCGUAGAUAUCGAGAGGAACACCUGCGGCGAAGGCGGGUUGCUGGGCUGAUACUGACGCUGAGGCGCGAAAGCCAGGGGAGCGAACGGG
RNAcentral lists this ribosomal RNA (253 nucleotides) under uncultured bacterium. Its description in RNAcentral is "partial 16S ribosomal RNA". It matches the Rfam family "Bacterial small subunit ribosomal RNA", at positions 524 to 776 of the family's 1533-position model. The record is from RNAcentral.